RNAcentral lists this ribosomal RNA (1314 nucleotides) under Callosobruchus chinensis (azuki bean weevil). RNAcentral describes it as "16S ribosomal RNA". The stretch from base 1060 to 1219 matches the Rfam family "Archaeal large subunit ribosomal RNA", at positions 2542 to 2701 of the family's 2987-position model. The record is from RNAcentral. Lineage: Eukaryota; Metazoa; Arthropoda; Insecta; Coleoptera; Chrysomelidae.
UUAUUUAAAAUAUUUGUUUUGUUUAUUAAAUUUUAAAAUAAGUAAAUUAAUGGUUUUAUUAUAUAAUUAGAAAAAAUAUUUUUUAUUAUAGUUUACUAGUAUUGUGAAAGAUUAUGAAUUUUUAUUAUUAAGAAAAAUUAACUUUUUGUACCUUUUGUAUCAGGGUUUAUUAAUAAUUAUAAUUUAUUUAUUAAUUUCUCGAAUUUAAAAGAGUUAAAAAUUUAUUAAUUUUAUUGUGGAAUAAAUAUUUUUAAUAUAUUUUUGGUAGUGAAAUGUUAUUCGUUUUUAAAUAUAUCUAGUUUUUUAAGAAAAAAAUUUAAUUUUAAAUUUAAUUAAUUAAGAAAUUAAAUAAUUUUAAAUUUUUUAUUGAUUAAAUUUAAUUAUUUUAGGGAUAAGCUUAAAAUAAUAAAUUUAUUAGAUUAAUUAUUAUUAUUAAAAAUUAUAGGAUUAGAAGUUUCUAUUAUUAAUAAAAUGUUACAAUUUAUUUAGAUUAAAAUAUUAUUUUUUAUUAAUUUAUAAAUUUUUUAUUAAAAUAUUUAUUUAAAUAAAUUAAAUAAAGUAAUAAUGAUAAAAUUAGUAUAUUUAUGUAUUUUGUAUAUUUAUUUAUUAUGAGUUAGGUUAUUUAAAGGAAUUCAGCAAAUUAAAUUUUUCACCUGUUUAUUAAAAACAUGUCUUAUUGAAUUUAUUUUUAAGUCUGGCCUGCUCUAUGAAUUUUAAAUGGCCGCGGUAUUUUGACCGUGCUAAGGUAGCAUAAUCAUUAGUUUCUUAAUUAGAAGCUGGAAUGAAGGGUUUUAUGAAGAAAUUACUGUCUCUAUAUAAUUUUUUUAUAAUUUUAUUUUUUAGUCAAAAAGCUAAAAUUUUAUUAAAAGACGAGAAGACCCUAUAGAGUUUUAUAUAAUUUUGAAUUUUUAAUUAAUUAGUAUUAAAUAUAGGAUUAUUAAUUUUUAUUAUAUUUGAUUGGGGUGAUAGGAAAAUUUGAUAAACUUUUUUUAUUUAUAAAACAUUGAUUUAUGAUUUUUUGAUCCAUUGAUUAUGAUUAAAAGAUAAAAUUACCUUAGGGAUAACAGCGUAAUUUUCUUAGAGAGUUCUUAUUGACAAGAAAGAUUGCGACCUCGAUGUUGGAUUAAAAUAAAUAAUUGGUGUAGAAGCUAGUUUAAUUAGGUCUGUUCGACCUUUAAAAUUUUACAUGAUCUGAGUUUAAACCGGUGUGAGCCAGGUUGGUUUCUAUCUUUAAUUAUAUUUAAUAUUCUAGUACGAAAGGAUUGAUUAUUAGAAAUAGUUUUUAUUUAAUUUGAAUUAAAUUAAUAAUUAGUU